UAUAAUUAAAACUAAGAUUAAUAAUUUAAUUAAAUUAUUUAAGUACAUUCAAGGGUUGUUUGACAAUCCAACCCUCAUUAUCAAUGAAUGAUAGACUAAUUAAGUGUUGUAACUCAUGUUUGCUCAAAAUUGCUUUCCAUAACACUCUUUUUGAAGUGUUUGAUCCCAUUCCUUUGCAUCUUUCCUCAGCAAAUGUUAAUUGUUUCUCUUUGCCACCAAAGACUCCAACAUCCCAACCUUGAGGAGUGAUGACAUUAGACAUAGAUGAAUCAUAGAAUAAAACUCUUGCAUAUUGUCUCCAUGGUCUACCCAAGAAAAUUUGUCCAUUUCCAAUAACAUUACAAUUCUUGAACACAAAUCCACUUGUAUCAUUUACAUUUUCUCUUCCAUGUGCUGUUAUAUACCCUAUUAAUCCAUUUAAAGCUCCUGCAUUUACUGAUAUUGUACAAUUCUCAUAAAUGGAUUUACCAUUACCAAAGAUGAAAUCAACAGCUCCUUCAAUGGUACAAAAUUUGAAAUAAUGUCUUCCUUGAACAUCCCAUAAUGUAUCUUGAAAUCCAAGAAAUUUACACUUAUAAAAUACACAUUUGUCACCAGAAAUCACAACUGCCACUGCCACCACCCUAGGAUGUUUGUUUCUUUUUGGAGGAUAAUUAUAAGAAUUUAUAAAUGUGAUACUUUCCACAAUUGUAUUAUUAGCUUCAGUAGUAAAAGUAGCAUCAGUAUCAAUUGAGCCAUGAGCAUCCCAAGUUACAAUAACUUCUCCAUUUUUAUCUCCUUUUAGAUAAAUAUAUGGCUUUUCUCUAGGGAUUUUCACUUGUUCCCUAUAUUGUCCAGGUUUGAUGAUAAUACAGAUCCAAUAUUGAUUAUUUUGAGGGAUAGAAUCAAUGGCUGAUUGAAUAGUUACAAAUUUGCCAUGUCCAGAUGGAUCAACAUACACCGUUGGAUAUUUUUUUUGCCCUUUAAAAUGAAAUUUUGCAUUUCCAAGUUCAAUAAUACCUAGGAAGA
This 1008-nucleotide unclassified non-coding RNA is filed under the name Hevea brasiliensis (rubber tree). The record is from RNAcentral. Lineage: Eukaryota; Viridiplantae; Streptophyta; Magnoliopsida; Malpighiales; Euphorbiaceae.